CGCUAGUGGCGCUCUUCUUGGAGACGGUGCCAUCUGGUAGAGACACUCCUCCACGACAUGAGGGCAAAGGUAAAUUUUAUCCACUCAAAACGAUUGUUUUGUAGGCAUCUUCCUUGUUGCUAUGCUAGUUAGCUUUAAGUGAUUUGGCUGGCUAGCCUGUUAACUGCGACAUAACUGCACGCAUUUUGUAGUUAGCCACCUGCUACAUUUUAAAUACAUUGAUUAUCGCGUUCGGUGCAUAGGCUUGUAGUAAUUUCUAAGACAACAUAAAAUCUUUGACGUUUGUAUAGUUGGAUAAUGCAAUGAAGAGCUUUGUCAUUCUACGAUAGCUUUUUCACGCGCAUUUUUUUUCUCUCUAGAAAUACUGCACCAAACGUUUUGGCUCCCGAGUGUCAUAGCGGUCUAGGGCACUGUUUUUAUUGGUCACAUACACAUGGUUAGCGUGUGUUAUUGGCGAGUAUAGCGAAAUGCUUGUUUCUAGUUCCAACAGUGCAGCAGUAUCUAACAAUUCUCGAAUUCAAUUACCUACUACACCCAAAUCUAAGUAAAAUAAUUAUAUAUAGAUGAGUAAUGAGAGCGGCUUAGGCAUGAUGCAAAAUAUGGUAUAAAUGUAUACAUGAGAUUAGUAAUGUUCACACAUCUUGCAUGUGACCAAUAAAAUGUGAUUUAUCAUUUUAUUAGUAUCCAAGUCUGUACGUAGGCAGCAGCCUCUAGUGAUGGCUGUUUAAGUCUGUUUGGCUUGAGAGAAGCUGUUUUUCACUCACUCAGUUCAUGCUUUGAUGCACCUUUACUGACCUCAUCUCAGUGAUUGGGAGUCAAAUGGAGCGGCUCAAUGGCCCAGCGUCGUCCAGGGUAGGCAGUCAUUGUAAUUAAGAAUUUGUUCUCAACUGACUUGCUUACUUAAAUAAAGGUUACAUUUAAUUAGUCUUGGUCGUGCAGUUUUACACCCUACUAAGGUCCUCGGUGAAAACAUCACAUUAAUGACCACUAAAGUCUAUCAUCUGGGUAAUUCAGGCUGUUUUGAAGUGUACACUGGAUAUUGUCAAGAUUAUGGUGUUUUCAGGUUCAGUUUCUAAGGGAGUAUGUGAGUGCACUUGUUCGUUUAGCCAAAGCCUUAAUAUUAGUUAUGUUGGCCAAUGGAACUAGCUAGCCAAGUAUUUAACUGCAGACAACUCAUAGAAAUGGGGGUGUCACAAAGUAAUUUAAUUCUGUAGUGAACACGUGGACAUGCCUUGUCAGAUUAUCACCUGUCCUGGUUCAUUACUGUAGCCAACUAUUGUGCAAUUCUAGCUAGCUUGUUGCCAUAUUUUCAGGCCCCUUACUAUAUGGGUGGGUGUGUAGGAUGGCAAUAUCCCUUCUAGACCUGAGCAUAUGUUGGUGGAACUGUAUUGACAGCAAUUUGCUGUAAAUGCCAGAUGGGUGUUGCCAACCGCGCUUCUGAAAAUUGAUCAGGGUUCAGCCAUUUGUUCUAACACUCAUCUAAAAGUAGCUAAUGUUACAUCUAACAUUGGCCUCUGUUCUCUCUUGCAGUGGAGAAAGAAGCGUAUGCGCAGGCUGAAGCGCAAGAGGCGAAAGAUGAGGCAGAGGUCCAAGUAGAAUGCCUCCCCAUACAACACCAUGGCUGUGACCCUUCUGGACACAACACGGGACCAAGGAUCUCAUGCUUAAAGUCUGAUCUGAGAUGUGCCAUCCAUGCCAAUGAGAGGCUGUAAAGAGACAGUGCUACUGUUGUCUUGGUCAAGAGACCACCUGCCUGGGAAAAUUAUGGGGACAUUCUGGAUUCUCUACUCUUCUACCAAACCUAUCCUACUCCAUUGCUUUUGUUUAUACUUUCCCAAUAAAGUUUUUGGUUUAAAGUUGUCUUUGUUGCUUCUGAAACAGGGUCCAGAAUGUAAUUCCUACCAUGCUGCACCCAUUUACCAUUAUUGCUGACAAGAGUUCAGUUCUGGUGAGUAGUCAUAUCAAACAUUCUUAUAGGUAGCCCAUAUGUUGUGAUUCCCUUAAAACCAGUUUAGGGGUUAUCAGUAUGAUAAGGUUAUGCUGCAUGCCUUCUCGCAGCUGUUGUGUCACUGUUGUGAGGCGUGCAUGGACUGCUCCAGACGGGGGCCAUCUGGAGCACGGUCUCCUGAGUGGUGCAUCUCAGUGCUAGAUGCCCCAGUUUGGUCCCGGGCUGUAUCUCAACUGAUUGGGAGUCCAAUAGGACUAUCACAGCAACACGUGCAACUUAGUUUUCUAGGUAAAUUUACUGUGAACAUUCUCAUUUCAAACAAUGACCUGGGGGAUUAAUGAGCCAAACGGAAGCUGGGGAUGAUUAGGUGGUAAUGGUAUGAGGACUAGAUUGGGUAUUUAGCCAGGACACUGGGUUUAACGCCUGUUAUAAUUGUCAUGGGAUCUUUAGUGGCCAAAGGUCGGACACCUGUUUUAAUGUCCCAUCUGGUGGUCCCCAAUCACCGCCCUGGAGCAUUGAUAUCUUGGUUGACGUAGUUUCCCUGGAUACCUGGCUGUCACUAAGGGCAAUUCUGUGGGGGAAAACCAUUUAAUUUAACGUCAUGUAUAGAGUAUUGUAGCCAAUGGUUUCUAUUUAAUGCUAUGUAAACAUAUCUAUGUAGGUCUUCAUUUUGUUAUUAAGUUGACGUGAAAAAUAAAUUAAACCGCACCCCAAAUGGUCAAAAACAAACAGGUUUACCCUGGAGGCAAAACGGUUUGAUCUCUCUGGCACUGUCUUACAGGCUGUUCAAAUAGAUGUCAGCCAAGCAUACUCUGUUUUUAAACAAGUGAGAUUUGGAUUUGAAAAUGGGUGGCCUAUUGUAGGACAUGUGUUUUUCCCCAUUACAAAUGCAUGUUGGACUAUUAAUCUGUUUCUAAAUUACUAAUUUACUAGUGUAAACCCACUGAAGAAAAAUACAGGACAGUCAACAGCCUACAAUAACGAAGCUUCUCCAAAACGUGUGCGUAAUACUCAUAGUUCUACAUUAUACCAGGUGUCAACCGAGGUAAUGGUCGUGUUGCUGUAUCAAAUACGUAGGGUACCCAACUAUCACGUUUAUUCAUUGGCCUCCAGUAGAUAUACAGGCAAUUCCAGUGGUGUAAAAAUACUUUAAAGUACUACUUAAGUAGUUUUUGGGGCAUCUGUACUUUACUAUUUAUAUUUUUGACAACUUUUACUCCACUACAUUCCUAAAGAAAAUAAUGUACUUUCUACUCCAUACAUUUUCCCUCACACCUAAAAGUACUCGUUACAUUUUGAAUGCUUAGUAGGACAGGAAAAUGGUCUAAUUCAUACACUUAAAGAGAAAAUCCCAGGUUAUACCUACUGCAUCUGAUCUGGCGGACUCACUAAACACAAAUGCUUUGUUUGUAAAUUAUUUCUGAGUGUUGGAGUGUGCCCCUGGCUAUCCGUAAAUUUAAAAAACAAGAACAUCGUGCCAUCUGGUUUGACUUUUGAUACUUAAGUAUAUUUUAGCAAUAACAUAUACUUUUGAUACUUAAGUUUUUGGGGCGGCAGGUAGCCUGGUGGUUAGAGCGUUGGGACAGUAACUGAAAGGUUGUUGGAUCAAAUCCUCGAGUUGAGAAGGUAAAAAUCUGUCGUUCUUCCCCUGAGCAAGGCAGUUAACCCACUGUUCCUUGGUAAACUUGUUCUGACUUGCUUUGUUAAAUAAAAGUAUAUUUAAAACCAAAUACUUAUUUUAUUUUGCUCAAGUUGCAUUUUACUAGGUGACUUUUACUUGAGUCAUUUUCUAUUAAGGUAUCAUUACUUUUACUCAAGUAUGACAAUUGGGUACCUUUUCCUCCACUGGGCAAUUCUUAGUCGGAAAGCUAUUGGUUUAUGUAAGGGAACACCCCCCUGAAAUGGACAAAAAUGAAUGGGAUGUUAUUGGCACCGUAUGAAACAUAUAAACGAUGUACA
Molecule: long non-coding RNA, 3907 nt
Organism: Oncorhynchus tshawytscha (Chinook salmon)
Lineage: Eukaryota; Metazoa; Chordata; Actinopteri; Salmoniformes; Salmonidae
Source: Ensembl